Molecule: non-coding RNA, 99 nt
Organism: Gymnopilus junonius
Lineage: Eukaryota; Fungi; Basidiomycota; Agaricomycetes; Agaricales; Galerinaceae
Source: the annotation of a GenBank genome assembly
UCCCCCUUAGCUCAGUGGUAGAGCGCUUCACUAGUAUCCUGCGUGCGAUUCAGUGUUCUGUCCAUGAAGAGGUCAGUCGUUCAAGUCGGCUAGGGGGAA